RNAcentral lists this ribosomal RNA (643 nucleotides) under uncultured Actinomycetes bacterium. RNAcentral's name for it is "bacterial SSU rRNA". It matches the Rfam family "Bacterial small subunit ribosomal RNA", at positions 232 to 885 of the family's 1533-position model. The record is from RNAcentral. Lineage: Bacteria; Bacillati; Actinomycetota; Actinomycetes.
CGCGGCCUAUCAGCUUGUUGGUGAGGUAAUGGCUCACCAAGGCGACGACGGGUAGCCGGCCUGAGAGGGCGACUGGCCACACUGGGACUGAGACACGGCCCAGACUCCUACGGGAGGCAGCGAUGGGGAAUAUUGCACAAUGGGCGAAAGCCUGAUGCAGCGACGCCGCGUGAGGGAUGACGGCCUUCGGGUUGUAAACCUCUUUCAGCAGGGAAGAAGCGAAAGUGACGGUACCUGCAGAAGAAGCACCGGCUAACUACGUGCCAGCAGCCGCGGUAAUACGUAGGGUGCGAGCGUUGUCCGGAAUUAUUGGGCGUAAAGAGCUUGUAGGCGGUUUGUCGCGUCUGCUGUGAAGAUCCGGGGCUCAACCCCGGACUUGCAGUGGGUACGGGCAGACUAGAGUGUGGUAGGGGAGACUGGAAUUCCUGGUGUAGCGGUGACAUGCGCAGAUAUCAGGAGGAACUCCGAUGGCGAAGGCAGGUCUCUGGGCCACUACUGACGCUGAGAAGCGAAAGCAUGGGGAGCGAACAGGAUUAGAUACCCUGGUAGUCCAUGCCGUAAACGUUGGGAACUAGGUGUGGGUCUCAUUCCACGAGAUCCGUGCCGCAGCUAACGCAUUAAGUUCCCCGCCUGGGGAGUACGG